RNAcentral lists this unclassified non-coding RNA (344 nucleotides) under soil metagenome. Its description in RNAcentral is "partial contains 5.8S ribosomal RNA, internal transcribed spacer 2, and large subunit ribosomal RNA". The stretch from base 1 to 120 matches the Rfam family "5.8S ribosomal RNA", at positions 35 to 154 of the family's 154-position model. The record is from RNAcentral.
GAUGAAGAACGCAGCGAAAUGCGAUAAGUAGUGUGAAUUGCAGAAUUCAGUGAAUCAUCGAGUCUUUGAACGCACAUUGCGCCCCCUGGUAUUCCGGGGGGCAUGCCUGUCCGAGCGUCAUUGCUGCCCUCAAGCACGGCUUGUGUGUUGGGCCUCCGUCCUCCUCCCGGGGGACGGGCCCGAAAGGCAGCGGCGGCACCGCGUCCGGUCCUCGAGCGUAUGGGGCUUCGUCACCCGCUCUUGUAGGCCCGGUCGGCGCUUGCCGACACAUCAAUCUUUUUUCCAGGUUGACCUCGGAUCAGGUAGGGAUACCCGCUGAACUUAAGCAUAUCAUAAGCGGAGGA